AACGCACGAGACCUGCGGACCUGCGGAAGGAUCAUUAAUGAGAAGCUGCCCCUCGUGGGUAGGCCUCCCACCCUCUGUGAACUUACCUUUGUUGCUUUGGCAGGCCCGUCCUCUGGACCGCCGGCUUCGGCUGGCCCGUGCCUGCCAGAGGAUUCCAAACCCUGUCUGUCAGUGUUGUCUGAGUCUAUAUGAAAUCGUUAAAACUUUUAGCAACGGAUCUCUAGAUCGGAAGAGCACACG
Molecule: unclassified non-coding RNA, 240 nt
Filed under: soil metagenome
Description: partial contains 5.8S ribosomal RNA, internal transcribed spacer 2, and large subunit ribosomal RNA
Source: RNAcentral